CAAACCCUGCCUGGUUCGUGGUGAACGUCAUUAUUUUUUGAACUUACAAUGACAAAACGGGGUCCAUCUCUUACCUUGGUGAGCAUGCCUCCUUGUGAGGAAGCCUAAAGAGGUAAUAACGGGUUCCACCUUAAUUAGUUAAGGUUCAAGAUAAGCUUCUCACGACUUAUGGUGGGGUUUUU
This 182-nucleotide non-coding RNA is filed under the name Deltaproteobacteria bacterium GWA2_45_12. Its description in RNAcentral is "6S RNA". It matches the Rfam family "6S / SsrS RNA". From Rfam's summary of the family: E. coli 6S RNA was the first non coding RNA to be sequenced, but its function was unknown until recently. It consists of 184 nucleotides that fold into an extended hairpin structure with a large single-stranded internal bulge. The record is from RNAcentral. RNAcentral also lists the same sequence under 1 other name. Lineage: Bacteria; Deltaproteobacteria.